UAGGCCUAGUCCUUUGGGGAUCUCUUCAGC
RNAcentral lists this non-coding RNA (30 nucleotides) under Rattus norvegicus (Norway rat). The record is from RNAcentral. Lineage: Eukaryota; Metazoa; Chordata; Mammalia; Rodentia; Muridae.